AGUGAACGCUGGCGGUAGGCCUAACACAUGCAAGUCGAACGGCAGCACAGUAAGAGCUUGCUCUUACGGGUGGCGAGUGGCUGACGGGUGAGGAAUACAUCGGAAUCUACUUUUUCGUGGGGGAUAACGUAGGGAAACUUACGCUAAUACCGCAUACGACCUACGGGUGAAAGCAGGGGAUCUUCGGACCUUGCGCGAUUGAAUGAGCCGAUGUCGGAUUAGCUAGUUGGCGGGGUAAAGGCCCACCAAGGCGACGAUCCGUAGCUGGUCUGAGAGGAUGAUCAGCCACACUGGAACUGAGACACGGUCCAGACUCCUACGGGAGGCAGCAGUGGGGAAUAUUGGACAAUGGGCGCAAGCCUGAUCCAGCCAUACCGCGUGGGUGAAGAAGGCCUUCGGGUUGUAAAGCCCUUUUGUUGGGAAAGAAAAGCAGCAGGUUAAUACCCCGCUGUUCUGACGGUACCCAAAGAAUAAGCACCGGCUAACUUCGUG
This 492-nucleotide ribosomal RNA is filed under the name uncultured bacterium. RNAcentral's name for it is "partial 16S ribosomal RNA". It matches the Rfam family "Bacterial small subunit ribosomal RNA", at positions 29 to 507 of the family's 1533-position model. The record is from RNAcentral.